AGCGAACGCUGGCGGUAGGCCUAACACAUGCCAGUCGAACGGCAGCACAGUAAGAGCUUGCUCUUACGGGUGGCGAGUGGCGGACGGGUGAGGAAUACAUCGGAAUCUACUUUUUCGUGGGGGAUAACGUAGGGAAACUUACGCUAAUACCGCAUACGACCUACGGGUGAAAGCAGGGGAUCUUCGGACCUUGCGCGAUUGAAUGAGCCGAUGUCGGAUUAGCUAGUUGGCGGGGUAAAGGCCCACCAUGUCGACGAUCCGUAGCUGGUCGGAGAGGAUGAUCAGCCACACUGGAACUGAGACACGGUCCAGACUCCUACGGGAGGCAGCAGUGGGGAAUAGUGGACAAUGGGCGCAAGCCUGAUCCAGCCAUACCGCGUGGGUGAAGAAGGCGUUCGGGUUGGAAAGCCCGUUUGUUGGGAAAGAAAAGCAGCAGGUUAAUACCCCGCUGUUCUGACGGUACCCAAAGAAUAAGCACCGGCUAACUUCGUG
Molecule: ribosomal RNA, 492 nt
Filed under: uncultured bacterium
Lineage: Bacteria
Description: partial 16S ribosomal RNA
Rfam family: Bacterial small subunit ribosomal RNA
Source: RNAcentral